This 460-nucleotide ribosomal RNA is filed under the name uncultured bacterium. Its description in RNAcentral is "partial 16S ribosomal RNA". It matches the Rfam family "Bacterial small subunit ribosomal RNA", at positions 355 to 803 of the family's 1533-position model. The record is from RNAcentral.
UGGGGAAUUUUGGACAAUGGGCGAAAGCCUGAUCCAGCAAUGCCGCGUGUGUGAAGAAGGCCUUCGGGUUGUAAAGCACUUUUGUCCGGAAAGAAAUCCUUGGCUCUAAUACAGUCGGGGGAUGACGGUACCGGAAGAAUAAGCACCGGCUAACUACGUGCCAGCAGCCGCGGUAAUACGUAGGGUGCAAGCGUUAAUCGGAAUUACUGGGCGUAAAGCGUGCGCAGGCGGUCCGCUAAGACAGAUGUGAAAUCCCCGGGCUUAACCUGGGAACUGCAUUUGUGACUGGCGGGCUAGAGUAUGGCAGAGGGGGGUUAGAAUUCCACGUNUAGCAGUGAAAUGCGUAGAGAUGUGGAGGAAUACCGAUGGCGAAGGCAGCCCCCCUUGGGCCCAAUACUGACGCUCAUGCACGAAAGCGUGGGGGAGCAAACAGGAUUAGAUACCCUGUAGUCCACGCCCU